Melanotaenia boesemani (Boeseman's rainbowfish) is the source of this 86-nucleotide long non-coding RNA. RefSeq lists it as uncharacterized. The record is from RefSeq and is a predicted model, not a curated record. Lineage: Eukaryota; Metazoa; Chordata; Actinopteri; Atheriniformes; Melanotaeniidae. The transcript has 3 exons.
GCUGGAAAAGGGAAAAAAACGUUUGCUUGGUUGAAACAUAGAUCAGGCCUUCAGUGUUGAUUCUUUAAAGUAAAAUAGCACGUAUU